Molecule: long non-coding RNA, 1490 nt
Filed under: Brachypodium distachyon (stiff brome)
Lineage: Eukaryota; Viridiplantae; Streptophyta; Magnoliopsida; Poales; Poaceae
Description: long non-coding RNA (BDIS_LNC002592)
Source: RNAcentral
GGCCAAAUGGAAUCCGAAUAGUCCAGUUGCGAGGGGCGCGCCCCCACUUGCGCAAAUUGUACUCAUAAAAAUGACGACCGCCAUGCUCGCUCCACACCGUUGGCUAAGUGGCUACCGUAUGCAAUGGGGAGAAAUAUCAGACCUCUCAAGCUGCAGCUAUAGUAAUGGUAUCAUUAUUAAGUACUCCCCCUAUUCAUAAAACUGUUGUCCAUUUUGUACUAAGUACUUCGUUUCGUAAAAAAUUUGUACUAAGUGGAUAGCACUUUUUAUGAAUCGAAAUGAGUAAAUGCAAACGAAGAUUAGAUACGGUACGCCACACACAGACACAGCCAGCUGGGUGUCACGAACGCCAUUUCCAUCCAUCCGUAUAUAAACAAGAGAAAAGAUUCAGCAAUCCUGCAGUUUAGUUUAUGAUUGAGAAUCCCCAAAAGCUGGCCCUCUGGGGAAGAUAUUCGGGGGCCGUGGGUUCGUGGCGUAUCGCGGCGGGACAGCUAGGCGUGUCGCCGGUGGAAAAUUGAGAGGCGGUGGGGCUGGACCGUCGAUCGCCACCUUUUUCCGUUUUCUUUUCCGUGCAGAAGGGAAGGAAUUGGGGGCAGUGGGCGGGCACACGAGACGAGAGGAGCAGAGUGUCCCAAGGAGUGCCAAAGUGCAGUGCAGGUGGGCGGACUCGUGUCUCGUGUGAUGUGUGACGACGUCUCAUCGGUACAUUCCCCAACCGGAACCAGCAGUGUUUGCUCUCCUUCCUCUAACUUGCCUAUCAUGAGUGGAAUGGAAUGUGCUGAUAGCGAGAGCCUGAGGCUCCCGUGAAUUGCUUCCGAAAUCUAGAGUGUUAGGUAUCGUUGCAAACCGGGUCCUUUUUCCUCUCUUCUUCUCUUCUCUCUCCAGUUCGCUGUUGCUUGCUCCAACUUCCAAGUAUAAGAAACUGGAGAUAGAGUGAUAGAGUUGUGGAUCACAUUGUCUUGUGUUGCCCUGUUUUCUUGUCACGGCGAGCUAAACAGGACUACUCGUGAGUUAAACGGGUCAUGUACUUGCAGUACUUUUCAGGCAGAACUGGUCUCUUUUUUUUUUUUUUGCAAGGAGGAAGAAAUGAUCUUGAACUGAGGGGUGAACUUUAUUCAUGAAGAAUCAAAGUACUUCACACUAAGAAAAGCCUAAACCCUUUAUAUUAAUCACGCAGUGCAAAUCUAUGGACUAAUUAACUUCAUAUAUAUAUCACGAAAAGUAAAUUUUUGGAACAAACAAGAAUCUUUGCCUGCACUUAGGAAAAGGCAUAGACAGACAAUGCGAAAUUAUGUAACUUGGCUAGCUUUUACAGUUAAAGAUUAUGUAACGGGAUUUGCACACGUACUGAUUAAGACUAGACAUAUGCUAAUAUGCUAUUGUAAACACAUAGCAUGGCUAAUAGGCAUCUCUCUUUCUUUUGCAUUUGAGGUAAAGGAGAACAAAGAAAAUGCAAAAUCUGGCCUAGCAAACGCCUUAAGGUGGACACG